UGUCCACCAAUCCGCGACUCCGGC
RNAcentral lists this non-coding RNA (24 nucleotides) under Arabidopsis thaliana (thale cress). The record is from RNAcentral. Lineage: Eukaryota; Viridiplantae; Streptophyta; Magnoliopsida; Brassicales; Brassicaceae.